AUGGAUAGUACCUUAGGUGACAUGUUGGUUAAGGUGGUUGUGUUCUUCCUAGUCCAAGCUUUGGUGUAUCUUAUUCUUUCAAAUUCAUCAAACAUAUUCUCCAAGGAUAUCAAGAGAUCAAACAGUUUCAGGCCGGCGCGUUCUCUGAGUAUUCGCCGAAUGUUGGCUUUGCUUUCCGAUUUCCCACCAGAAGGAGAACCUUCUCCUUCUACAAAGAGUCCUCAACCACAAGCUACUCAAAGUUAG
Molecule: non-coding RNA, 246 nt
Organism: Vicia faba (fava bean)
Lineage: Eukaryota; Viridiplantae; Streptophyta; Magnoliopsida; Fabales; Fabaceae
Source: the annotation of a GenBank genome assembly